RNAcentral lists this ribosomal RNA (440 nucleotides) under uncultured bacterium. Its description in RNAcentral is "partial 16S ribosomal RNA". It matches the Rfam family "Bacterial small subunit ribosomal RNA", at positions 338 to 795 of the family's 1533-position model. The record is from RNAcentral.
CCUACGGGGGGCAGCAGUAGGGAAUAUUGCUCAAUGGGGGAAACCCUGACGCAGCAAAGCGGCGUGGCGGAUGAAGGUUUUCGGAUUGUAACCUCCUUUUGUUAGAGAAGAUCAUGACGGUAUCUAACGAAUAAGCUCCGGCUAACUCCGUGUCAGCAGUCGCGGUAAUACGGAGGUUGAAAGCGUUACUCGGAAUCACUGGGCGUAAAGAGAGCGGAGGCGGGAUAGGAAGUCAUAUGUGAAAUCCUAUGGCGUAACCAUAAAACUGCAUUUGAAAUUGUGAUUUUAGAGUAUGGUAGAGGUAAGUGGAAUUGUUGGUGGAGGGGUAUAAUCCGUAGAGAGUAAGAGGAAUACUCAGGGCGAAGGCGACCUACUAGAACAUAACUGACGCUGAUGCGCGAAAGCGUGGGGAGCAAACAGGAUUAGAUACCCUGGUAGUC